AUACGGAGGAUGCGAGCGUUAUCCGGAUUCAUUGGGUUUAAAGGGUGCGUAGGCGGCUUUUUAAGUCAGUGGUGAAAUCCUGUCGCUUAACGAUAGAAUUGCCAUUGAUACUGAAGAGCUUGAGUACAAUUGAGGUAAGUGGAAUGUGUAGUGUAGCGGUGAAAUGCUUAGAUAUUACACAGAACACCGAUUGCGAAGGCAGCUUACUAAACUGUUACUGACGCUGAUGCACGAAAGCGUGGGGAGC
This 247-nucleotide ribosomal RNA is filed under the name uncultured bacterium. RNAcentral's name for it is "partial 16S ribosomal RNA". It matches the Rfam family "Bacterial small subunit ribosomal RNA", at positions 523 to 769 of the family's 1533-position model. The record is from RNAcentral.